GGCUUCGGCCUGGGGCAAAGCCGCGAACGGGUGAGUAACACGUGGAUAACCUGCCCCGAAGACCGGGACAACCCGGGGAAACCCGGGCUAAUACCGGAUGUGGUCAUCGUUCAUAAGGGCGAUGAGCAAAGGAAGCUUCGGCCUCCGCUUCGGGAGGGGUCCGCGGCCCAUUAGCUUGUUGGUGAGGUAACGGCUCACCAAGGCAACGAUGGGUAGCUGGUCUGAGAGGACGAUCAGCCACACUGGGACUGAGACACGGCCCAGACUCCUACGGGAGGCAGCAGUGGGGAAUCUUGCGCAAUGCGCGAAAGCGUGACGCAGCAACGCCGCGUGGGUGAAGAAGGCUUUCGGGUCGUAAAGCCCUUUCAGCGGGGACGAAGCUUCGGCAGCGAAUAGCCGUCCGGAGUGACGGUACCCGCAGAAGAAGCCCCGGCUAACUACGUGCCAGCAGCCGCGGUAAUACGUAGGGGGCAAGCGUUGUCCGGAAUCAUUGGGCGUAAAGAGCGCGUAGGCUGCCAGAUAAGUCCGGUGUGAAAGUCACAGGCUCAACCUGUGAAUGCCGCUGGAAACUGUCUGGCUAGAGUCCGGAAGGGGCGAGUGGAAUUCCUGGUGUAGCGGUGAAAUGCGCAGGUAUCAGGAGGAACACCAAUGGCGAAGGCAGCUCGCUGGGACGGUACUGA
RNAcentral lists this ribosomal RNA (680 nucleotides) under uncultured Actinomycetes bacterium. Its description in RNAcentral is "bacterial SSU rRNA". It matches the Rfam family "Bacterial small subunit ribosomal RNA", at positions 76 to 743 of the family's 1533-position model. The record is from RNAcentral. Lineage: Bacteria; Bacillati; Actinomycetota; Actinomycetes.